CCUACGGGAGGCAGCAGUAGGGAAUAUUUCUCAAUGGGCGAAAGCCUGAAGCAGCAACGCCGCGUGGAGGAUGAAGGUUUUCGGAUUGUAAACUCCUUUUGUUAGAGAGGAUAAUGACGGUAUCUAACGAAUAAGCAUCGGCUAACUCCGUGCCAGCAGCCGCGGUAAUGCGGAGGGUGCAAGCGUUAUCCGGAAUCACUGGGCGUAAAGAGUGCGGAGGCGGGAUAUCAAGUUAGAUGGGAAAUCCUAUGGCUUAACCAUAGAACUACAUUUGAAACUGUUAUUCGCGAGUGGGGGAGAGGUAAGUGGAAUUUUUGGUGUAGGGGUGAAAUCCGUAGAGAUCAAGAGGAAUACUCAUUGCGAAGGC
RNAcentral lists this ribosomal RNA (367 nucleotides) under uncultured bacterium. RNAcentral's name for it is "partial 16S ribosomal RNA". It matches the Rfam family "Bacterial small subunit ribosomal RNA", at positions 338 to 722 of the family's 1533-position model. The record is from RNAcentral.